This 731-nucleotide ribosomal RNA is filed under the name uncultured bacterium. Its description in RNAcentral is "bacterial SSU rRNA". It matches the Rfam family "Bacterial small subunit ribosomal RNA", at positions 69 to 811 of the family's 1533-position model. The record is from RNAcentral.
GGAAGUUUUCGGAUGGAAGCGGAUAUGACUUAGCGGCGGACGGGUGAGUAACGCGUGGAUAACCUGCCUCAUACAGGGGGAUAACAGUUAGAAAUGACUGCUAAUACCGCAUAAGCGCACAGGACCGCAUGGUCCGGUGUGAAAAACUCCGGUGGUAUGGGAUGGAUCCGCGUCUGAUUAGCUGGUUGGUGAGGUAACGGCCCACCAAGGCGACGAUCAGUAGCCGACCUGAGAGGGUGGCCGGCCACAUUGGGACUGAGACACGGCCCAAACUCCUACGGGAGGCAGCAGUGGGGAAUAUUGCACAAUGGGGGAAACCCUGAUGCAGCAACGCCGCGUGAGUGAAGAAGUAUUUCGGUAUGUAAAGCUCUAUCAGCAGGGAAGAAGAAAGACGGUACCUGACUAAGAAGCCCCGGCUAACUACGUGCCAGCAGCCGCGGUAAUACGUAGGGGGCAAGCGUUAUCCGGAUUUACUGGGUGUAAAGGGAGCGUAGACGGCUGUGCAAGUCUGAAGUGAAAGCCCGUGGCUCAACCGCGGAACUGCUUUGGAAACUGUAUAGCUUGAGUACUGGAGAGGCAGGCGGAAUUCCUAGUGUAGCGGUGAAAUGCGUAGAUAUUAGGAGGAACACCAGUGGCGAAGGCGGCCUGCUGGACAGAAACUGACGUUGAGGCUCGAAAGCGUGGGGAGCAAACAGGAUUAGAUACCCUGGUAGUCCACGCGGUAAACGAUG